GUUUUCCAAGUGGGUUUGCACCUGAGGGAUGCCGGGAGGUCAGCAUGCUGUACAAGUGCUAAUACAUAGAAGUAACACGUUCACAAGCACAUGCAGGAGAAGCUAGAUGACGCGGAUGAAGUGGCUAACUGCCACUUGCCUUCUUCAACGUGUCAGUUUGUGGUAAAACGCUAGCGUGGUAAGCUAGUAAGUGUCACACUCACCCCGUGUUGGUGUGUUUGUUGCAUAAGCUAUUGGUACUCCUGGAAGCUUAAGGUUGAAAGGAAGUAGCUUGCUGCUUGAACAGUUAGUUUUGUUCUGAAGAGUAAAGUGACAUGACUUCCCCUUGUCUCCUCACCAUUAACAGUAUCUCUCCACUUGAAAGGCAAGUUGUUAAAGAAGUAAUGUGGUUCAAGUCAAGUCAAGCCUUUCAUAGUAAAAAGUCCUAAGUCAUGAACCAUUUAAGUCCCUCAACCUCUGACUCGUACCUUGAGCACCUCUACUGGAACCUGAGCUGGAGGUGCGCAGGGGGACGCACUGACGCAGACGGGGGACGACACCGAGCCGGCGGGCAACCGCAGAAGCUGCUGCUGUGCUUCCUUUUGUUGCUCCUCAAGAGCCUGCUGACGCAUCAGAUCCUGACGCAACAGGACCCUGCGGGUCAGAGCAGCCGUUAGUAUUGGACCUCAGCGGCCAUGACUGGGCCGUGAUUGGGUUAGGAGAGAAGCCGGACGCUUACCUGGAGGACAUGGCCACCGGCACAGAUGAAGAGAAUGACAAGGAGGAGGAAGAGGAGGCAUUCACUGAAGUGCUGAGGAGACAUCAAGAGACACAAAUGUCUUCUUUUUUUAUGUACACUACAUUGGAAUUGAAUCAUUACUUUAUCACAGUUAAUGAUAAAGUUUGUCCAUAAUAAAAAUGUUACAAUGGCUGAAAAUAAUAUACACUGUGCAGAGACACAAGUCCAGGAGCUGGUGGCAUUACCUGCUGCGGAUGGGCUGACUCUUGAUCUGGUAGAAGGUGUCGUAGUCUGAUGGCAGCAGGGCAUCCACCUCAAUGUCGGCGACGAUGCCAGACUCCACUCUGAGCAAGCAGACACAACCGAUCAAUCAGAGGCCUCUUGGUUCAUGCCAAAAAACACCCGUUUCAUUCUCCUUUUAAAAUUAUAUCAUUUAUAGUUCAUAGUUUAUAGUUCAUAUUUAUUUAAGGUUACAAGGGUAUGAUUUAGAUAUAUGUGUAGUAAAUAAUGAUUCUUCAGUACGACUAUGGUCUAGUAUACGUGUAAGAAUGCCUGGUGUCUUGAAUGAGUGUUUUUUUUCAUCCUCUUCCUCAUUCCUGACCCCCACCCCCCUACCCCCCAAAAAAUCUGUGUGCGUUUCAGCUGAGUCACUUCCUACUUCUCACCACAAAGACCCCCUCCUCCUCCUCUCUGCCCUCCAAAAUUUCCAUGGAACAAACAUAGCUGUAUCGGGACAGUAGGAAAUCAUGAGAAAGGUCUUGUAAUUUUCCUUUCAGACGCGGUGUUUAGGUCUUUUGAAAGAAGGUUUUGGGGUCAUUUGUUGUGCUGCGUUACUUUGUUGGUCAUUAAAAAGAAUGUAUUGCCUUGUGGCAUCUGGAAAGAGUUGGCAGGUCAACAUUCAAUUGGCAGAAUGCAGUUAAAAAAAAAAAACGAAAUUGCACA
Syngnathus acus (greater pipefish) is the source of this 1660-nucleotide long non-coding RNA. RefSeq lists it as uncharacterized. The record is from RefSeq and is a predicted model, not a curated record. The transcript has 2 exons. Lineage: Eukaryota; Metazoa; Chordata; Actinopteri; Syngnathiformes; Syngnathidae.